This is a long non-coding RNA of Oncorhynchus tshawytscha (Chinook salmon), 912 nucleotides long. Lineage: Eukaryota; Metazoa; Chordata; Actinopteri; Salmoniformes; Salmonidae. The record is from Ensembl.
AAUGAAGCUAACAGAAAACCUCUUAGUUGCACUGAGAUAUUCAUGGUCGUUGUGAAGCAAAGCGGAACGACAUUUGCAUGCAAGAUGCAGUGAAUUGUGCGUAACAAGCUGUUGCCGGGGUCAGCGAAGCUCCCAAGUGACCAGCGACAGGGCCAACAGCCAACUGACUGCCUACUCUACUCUGACCUCCCUUCAUUAGUAACCCCUGGGCUUCUCCUCAGACCUGGUGCUGCUGGGGGGACCUAUUUGUGGUCCUCCACUCAUCUGAGGGGAAGGGGAUAGAGGGAUAGAGACUGAAGGAACAACAGCUGCUGAUGGGGACCUCACGCUUCCCAUGGAAGAGCAGCAUCCUCCUGAGAGAAGGUGCUGUAAUCUGCAGUAAUCGAAUUCUCAGACAUACAUGAUAGCCACAGUAUGUCUCGAAGCCACAUUGUAUGUGAGUGAACACAUGACAUUGAACAUAUUGACACAUGACGUUGUGUGAUCUGUAUUGUAUUUACAAAAACAAUCAACAGUGCAAGUCGCAUGAUGAUCUUACACGGAAAGCUCUUGAAAACUUUCACAGACACACAAAAACAUAGAGAUAUUAAAACCGUUAUACAAGCAGUGUUAAAUGGACAAAGUGUAAUUAAAUGUAUUUUGUGUUAAGAGAAUCUGCUGGGGUGCCAGAGGAAUGCAAAGAAUUGUAGGCACUUUUUUCUGACACGGUAUAGUGAUGCCAUCAUGAGUUGCAAUGGGAAACAUUUACACACAGCAAAGAGCCCAGUGGGUUCACUAGUAGCAAUACAAGGUGACAUCAUCUGUCUGAUAAACAGUCUUGUGUCUGUUUAAUAAUUGAUUUAAUAAGGUAUUAUUUACUUAACUGACUUGAUUUUGAGUGAAUCUGGAUUCUGUUUAUUCGACAUAUUUAAC